GAUGGACGCUAGCUACAGGCUUAACACAUGCAAGUCGAGGGGAAACGGCAUUUAGUGCUUGCACUGAAUGGACGUCGACCGGCGCACGGGUGAGUAACGCGUAUCCAACCUACCCAUUACUGUGGGAUAACCUGCCGAAAGGCAGACUAAUAUCGCAUAGUCUUCGAUGACGGCAUCAGAUUUGAAGUAAAGAUCUAUCGGUAAUGGAUGGGGAUGCGUCUGAUUAGCUUGUUGGCGGGGUAACGGCCCACCAAGGCAACGAUCAGUAGGGGUUCUGAGAGGAAGGUCCCCCACAUUGGAACUGAGACACGGUCCAAACUCCUACGGGAGGCAGCAGUGAGGAAUAUUGGACAAUGGGCGCGAGCCUGAACCAGCCAAGUAGCGUGCAGGAUGACGGCCCUAUGGGUUGUAAACUGCUUUUGUAUGGGGAUAAAGUCAAUCACGUGUGAUUGUUUGCAGGUACCAUACGAACAAGGACCGGCUAAUUCCGUGC
This 493-nucleotide ribosomal RNA is filed under the name uncultured Prevotella sp. Its description in RNAcentral is "bacterial SSU rRNA". It matches the Rfam family "Bacterial small subunit ribosomal RNA", at positions 28 to 508 of the family's 1533-position model. Lineage: Bacteria; Pseudomonadati; Bacteroidota; Bacteroidia; Bacteroidales; Prevotellaceae. The record is from RNAcentral.